This is a long non-coding RNA of Chelonia mydas (Green sea turtle), 670 nucleotides long. RefSeq lists it as uncharacterized. NCBI's taxonomy places the organism in Eukaryota, Metazoa, Chordata, Testudines, Cheloniidae. The record is from RefSeq and is a predicted model, not a curated record. The transcript has 3 exons.
GGUGGGGCUGCCGCCAACCCCCAGCUCCCUGGCAGACUGGGCUCCGGCUGUGUUACCAGCUCUCGCAAUUUUCGCUGUUCUGGGUUUUUCUUUUCCGUCCCACGAACACAUGAUGACAGGCCAGAAGGGACCACUAUAAUCAUGAAGUCUGACCUCCUGCAUAACACAGGCCAAAGAACAUCACUCCAUAACUCCAGCAGUGGAGGGAAUUAUUCUUCUCUCCCAUGUGGAGGUAUGCAGAUUUCCUUGAUUUGAUUACCUGCUGCAGCUGAUCAAUUUGCCUGCAUUUCCAUCAUGUCUCCAGUAUGUCUGGUGCAGAGAGAAUAAUACAAGCCCUGCCUGUGCUGUGUGGAGUCUUUUUUAUAUCCUAGCAAGUAAUGAGUCAUUUUUGGAAGCAUGGUGGGGAUAGCACAAGGAAGCUUAUUUCUGGUCUAUGUGUGUUUAGGGGUGCCAUCAGUUCCACUCACAGUUUGGGACAGCCUCUUUCCAGCUUGCGAAUGAGGUGUUUCUGCUGCUAAAGGGUGGCUUAAAUGUUAUUCCCACAAAGUUACCUGUCGGGACUACGGCCUCAUUGAUCUGCAGGAAACAUUUCUGCUGCACUUCCAAGUGGGGUAGUGGUGCAGCAACCGAGGACAUAGCACAGUAGUUUUCAACCUCUGGUCCGUGAACC